RNAcentral lists this ribosomal RNA (371 nucleotides) under uncultured bacterium. RNAcentral describes it as "bacterial SSU rRNA". It matches the Rfam family "Bacterial small subunit ribosomal RNA", at positions 527 to 896 of the family's 1533-position model. The record is from RNAcentral.
GUAGGGGGCAAGCGUUGUCCGGAUUUAUUGGGCGUAAAGAGCGUGUAGGCGGCCAAAUAGGUCGGUUGUGAAAACUGGAGGCUUAACCUCCAGACGUCGACCGAAACCAUCUGGCUAGAGUCCGGAAGAGGAGAGUGGAAUUCCUGGUGUAGCGGUGAAAUGCGCAGAUAUCAGGAAGAACACCCGUGGCGAAGGCGGCUCUCUGGGACGGUACUGACGCUGAGACGCGAAAGCGUGGGGAGCGAACAGGAUUAGAUACCCUGGUAGUCCACGCCGUAAACGAUGGGUGCUAGGUGUGGGCGGUGUCGACUCCGUCCGUGCCGAAGCUAACGCAUUAAGCACCCCGCCUGGGGAGUACGGCCGCAAGGCUA